UACGUAGGGCGCAAGCGUUAUCCGGAAUUAUUGGGCGUAAAGAGCUCGUAGGCGGCUUGUCGCGUCGACUGUGAAAACCCGCGGCUCAACCGUGUGGUCUGCAGUCGAUACGGGCAGGCUAGAGUUCGGUAGGGGAGACUGGAAUUCCCGGUGUAGCGGUGAAAUGCGCAGAUAUCGGGAAGAACACCCGUGGCGAAGGCGGCACUCUGGGACGGUACUGACGCUGAGACGCGAAAGCGUGGGGAGCGAACAGG
This 254-nucleotide ribosomal RNA is filed under the name uncultured bacterium. RNAcentral describes it as "partial 16S ribosomal RNA". It matches the Rfam family "Bacterial small subunit ribosomal RNA", at positions 524 to 776 of the family's 1533-position model. The record is from RNAcentral.